CUCCAAACCACGUGACCGUGCUUUUUGCUCCUGAUUGGCCGACUGACUCGGCAGCACCCAACUGGAAAGUCUUCCAUGGGCUCCAAAAUUCGACUUUGAAAUCAUCAUUACUUGUUUAUUGUUCCUCACAGAAGCAAUUUUAUUUCAGCAGUAGGACGUUUGAACUGGACCCGACGUUGUUUUGGGCAAGCUCAGCUUCAGCCAAAUCAAACGAGCUCACUGGGCCUCAUCACGCUCGCCUGUCACCCUCGCCCGAGUGAUGCCACGAAUCGCACAAAGGCCAGACACCGGUGCCGUGCUGAUGAUGCAAAUGCCCAUCCGGAUGCCAACCUGUCUGUGUGGUUGUGCGCGUGCGUGCGUGUGCGUGCGUGCGUGCGCACCCGCAUGAAGGCCACAAUGCACAUUAGGCAGUUUGCUGAUCAAACAGAAAAACUGUAAACAGACGCACAUGAGCCAUGCAUAU
This is a long non-coding RNA of Hippocampus comes (tiger tail seahorse), 463 nucleotides long. RefSeq lists it as uncharacterized. The transcript has 3 exons. The record is from RefSeq and is a predicted model, not a curated record. NCBI's taxonomy places the organism in Eukaryota, Metazoa, Chordata, Actinopteri, Syngnathiformes, Syngnathidae.